GGGGAUAUCUCAGUGGUAGAGCACGUGCUUAACACGCGUGAGGUCCUGGGUUCAAUCCCCAGUAUCUCCA
Molecule: transfer RNA, 70 nt
Filed under: Camelus bactrianus (Bactrian camel)
Lineage: Eukaryota; Metazoa; Chordata; Mammalia; Artiodactyla; Camelidae
Also listed under: 1 other name
Rfam family: tRNA
About the family: Transfer RNA (tRNA) molecules are approximately 80 nucleotides in length. Their secondary structure includes four short double-helical elements and three loops (D, anti-codon, and T loops).
Source: Rfam by way of RNAcentral